UGGGGAAUAUUGGACAAUGGGCGCAAGCCUGAUCCAGCCAUGCCGCGUGUAUGAAGAAGGCCUUCGGGUUGUAAAGUACUUUCAGCGAGGAGGAAGGCGUUGUGGUUAAUAACCGCAACGAUUGACGUUACUCGCAGAAGAAGCACCGGCUAACUCCGUGCCAGCAGCCGCGGUAAUACGGAGGGUGCAAGCGUUAAUCGGAAUUACUGGGCGUAAAGCGCACGCAGGCGGUCUGUCAAGUCGGAUGUGAAAUCCCCGGGCUCAACCUGGGAACUGCAUCCGAAACUGGCAGGCUAGAGUCUUGUAGAGGGGGGUAGAAUUCCAGGUGUAGCGGUGAAAUGCGUAGAGAUCUGGAGGAAUACCGGUGGCGAAGGCGGCCCCCUGGACAAAGACUGACGCUCAGGUGCGAAAGCGUGGGGAGCAAACA
This 427-nucleotide ribosomal RNA is filed under the name uncultured bacterium. Its description in RNAcentral is "partial 16S ribosomal RNA". It matches the Rfam family "Bacterial small subunit ribosomal RNA", at positions 355 to 774 of the family's 1533-position model. The record is from RNAcentral.